GACGAACGCUGGCGGCGUGCCUAAUACAUGCAAGUCGAGCGGACGAAUCGAAAGCUUGCUUUUGAUUCGUUAGCGGCGGACGGGUGAGUAACACGUGGGCAACCUGCCCUGUAGACGGGGAUAACACCGAGAAAUCGGUGCUAAUACCGGAUAACACGAAAUGUCGCAUGACGUUUCGUUGAAAGACGGCGCAAGCUGUCGCUACAGGAUGGGCCCGCGGCGCAUUAGCUAGUUGGUGAGGUAACGGCUCACCAAGGCGACGAUGCGUAACCGACCUGAGAGGGUGAUCGGCCACACUGGGACUGAGACACGGCCCAGACUCCUACGGGAGGCAGCAGUAGGGAAUCUUCCGCAAUGGACGAAAGUCUGACGGAGCAACGCCGCGUGAGCGAAGAAGGCCUUCGGGUCGUAAAGCUCUGUUGUUAGGGAAGAACAAGUAACGCAGUAACUGGCGUUACCGUGACGGUACCUAACGAGAGAGCCACGGCUAACUACGUG
RNAcentral lists this ribosomal RNA (498 nucleotides) under uncultured bacterium. RNAcentral describes it as "partial 16S ribosomal RNA". It matches the Rfam family "Bacterial small subunit ribosomal RNA", at positions 28 to 507 of the family's 1533-position model. The record is from RNAcentral.